GACAGAGGUGCCAAGCGUUAGGCGGAAUCACUGGGCUUAAAGCGUGUGUAGGCGGGUCGUUAAGUGUCUUGUGAAAUCCCCCGGCUCAACCGGGGAAUGGCUGGGCAUACUGGCGAUCUUGAGCAGUCUAGGGGCAGAUGGAACAGACGGUGGAGCGGUGAAAUGCGUAGAUAUCGGGAGGAACACCUGUGGCGAAAGCGGCUCACUGGACCACAACUGACGCUGAGGCGCGAAAGCUAGGGGAGCAAACAGG
RNAcentral lists this ribosomal RNA (253 nucleotides) under uncultured bacterium. RNAcentral's name for it is "partial 16S ribosomal RNA". It matches the Rfam family "Bacterial small subunit ribosomal RNA", at positions 524 to 776 of the family's 1533-position model. The record is from RNAcentral.